Molecule: long non-coding RNA, 331 nt
Filed under: Jatropha curcas
Lineage: Eukaryota; Viridiplantae; Streptophyta; Magnoliopsida; Malpighiales; Euphorbiaceae
Description: long non-coding RNA (JCUR_LNC003266)
Source: RNAcentral
AAUGACAAGGACCGCUGCCCUCAGUGCAAGGGUGAAAAGGUUGUUCAGGAGAAGAAAGUUCUGGAAGUCAUUGUUGAGAAGGGAAUGCAAAAUGGACAGAGGAUUACCUUCCCUGGAGAAGCUGAUGAAGCAGUGAGUGGCUGCAGUUAGUUGGAUGCUUUUUGGUCCUAAUGUUCUUUGGUAUUUUGGUAAUUUCUUUAUCUAUGAUUUUGUGUACAUUCUAAUUGGUUUGUCUUCUUUGUACAGCCUGAUACUAUUACAGGGGACAUUGUUUUUGUACUACAGCAAAAGGAGCAUCCUAAGUUUAAGCGAAAGGGUGAUGACCUAAUUG